RNAcentral lists this ribosomal RNA (406 nucleotides) under uncultured bacterium. RNAcentral describes it as "partial 16S ribosomal RNA". It matches the Rfam family "Bacterial small subunit ribosomal RNA", at positions 29 to 526 of the family's 1533-position model. The record is from RNAcentral.
AUUGAACGCUGGCGGCAGGCCUAACACAUGCAAGUCGAAUGAGUGGCGGACGGGUGAGUAAUGUCUUGGAAACUGCCUGAUGGAGGGGGAUCACUACUGGAAAAGUUAGCUAAUACCGCAUACCAUCCGAUGUGCCCAUAUGGGAUUUGCUGGGUGGUGGGGUAACGGAUCACGAAGGCGACGAUCCCUGGCUGGUAUGAGAGGAUGACCAGCCACACUGAGAGUGAGACACGGCCCAGACGCCCACGGGAGGCAGCAGUGGGGAAUAGUGCACAAUGGGCGCAAGACAGAGGAAGCUAGGCCGCGUGUAUGAAGAAGGCCUUCGGGUUGUAAAAUACUGUCAGUGGGGAUGCGGUACCCGCAGAAGAAGCAACGGCUAAAUCCGUGCCAGCAGCCGCGGUAAUAC